UACGGAGGGUGCAAGCGUUGUCCGGAUUUACUGGGUUUAAAGGGCGCGUAGGUGGACAGGAAAGUCAGUGGUGAAAUCUUCGAGCUUAACUCGGAAACUGCCAUUGAUACUAUUUGUCUUGAAUACUUUGGAGGUAAGCGGAAUAUGUCAUGUAGCGGUGAAAUGCGUAGAUAUGACAAAGAACACCAAUGGCGAAGGCAGCUUACUGGACAGUUAUUGACACUGAGGCGCGAAAGCGUGGGGAGCAAACAGG
This 253-nucleotide ribosomal RNA is filed under the name uncultured bacterium. RNAcentral's name for it is "partial 16S ribosomal RNA". It matches the Rfam family "Bacterial small subunit ribosomal RNA", at positions 524 to 776 of the family's 1533-position model. The record is from RNAcentral.